GGAGAAAUGCCAGAGUGGUCGAAUGGGGCAGUCUCGAAAACUGUUGUGUGUUUUUACAUACCGUGGGUUCGAAUCCCACUUUCUCCG
RNAcentral lists this transfer RNA (87 nucleotides) under Candidatus Cytomitobacter indipagum. Its description in RNAcentral is "tRNA-Ser". It matches the Rfam family "tRNA". Rfam says of the family: Transfer RNA (tRNA) molecules are approximately 80 nucleotides in length. Their secondary structure includes four short double-helical elements and three loops (D, anti-codon, and T loops). The record is from RNAcentral. Lineage: Bacteria; Pseudomonadati; Pseudomonadota; Alphaproteobacteria; Holosporales; Holosporaceae.